CCUACGGGAGGCAGCAGUGAGGAAUAUUGGACAAUGGGGGGAACCCUGAUCCAGCGACGCCGCGUGAGUGAAGAAGUAUUUCGGUAUGUAAAGCUCUAUCAGCAGGGAAGAAAAUGACGGUACCUGACUAAGAAGCCCCGGCUAACUACGUGCCAGCAGCCGCGGUAAUACGUAGGGGGCAAGCGUUAUCCGGAUUUACUGGGUGUAAAGGGAGCGUAGACGGCGGGGCAAGUCUGGAGUGAAAGGCCGGGGCCCAACCCCGGGACCGCUCUGGAAACUGCCCGGCUGGAGUGCAGGAGAGGUAAGCGGAAUUCCUAGUGUAGCGGUGAAAUGCGUAGAUAUUAGGAGGAACACCAGCGGCGAAGGCGGCUUACUGGACCGUGACUGACGUUGAGGCUCGAAAGCGUGGGGAGCAAACAGGAUUAGAUACCCGUGUAGUC
Molecule: ribosomal RNA, 440 nt
Filed under: uncultured bacterium
Lineage: Bacteria
Description: partial 16S ribosomal RNA
Rfam family: Bacterial small subunit ribosomal RNA
Source: RNAcentral